Molecule: transfer RNA, 89 nt
Filed under: Crocinitomicaceae bacterium
Lineage: Bacteria; Pseudomonadati; Bacteroidota; Flavobacteriia; Flavobacteriales; Crocinitomicaceae
Description: tRNA-Ser
Rfam family: tRNA
About the family: Transfer RNA (tRNA) molecules are approximately 80 nucleotides in length. Their secondary structure includes four short double-helical elements and three loops (D, anti-codon, and T loops).
Source: RNAcentral
GGAGAGGUGCCUGAGAGGCCGAAAGGAACAGUUUGCUAAACUGUCGUACUGAGCAAUCGGUACCGAGGGUUCGAAUCCCUCUCUCUCCG